This is a long non-coding RNA of Haliotis rubra (blacklip abalone), 125 nucleotides long. RefSeq lists it as uncharacterized. The transcript has 3 exons. NCBI's taxonomy places the organism in Eukaryota, Metazoa, Mollusca, Gastropoda, Lepetellida, Haliotidae. The record is from RefSeq and is a predicted model, not a curated record.
UACCAAAACUGUUAGCUAUAGUUUGGCAUUAAAUGCAUGUGGACCCGUUUUUGUAAAUAUCUCUUCAUCCAAUGAUCCAAUCGAUCUCAAACUGUGCAAGUGGAUGUUUUGUCAGACAACCUAAU